This 208-nucleotide ribosomal RNA is filed under the name uncultured bacterium. Its description in RNAcentral is "partial 16S ribosomal RNA". It matches the Rfam family "Bacterial small subunit ribosomal RNA", at positions 568 to 776 of the family's 1533-position model. The record is from RNAcentral.
UGCGUAGGUGGUUUCUUAAGUCAGGAGUGAAAGGCUACGGCUCAACCGUAGUAAGCUCUUGAAACUGGGAAACUUGGGUGCAGGAGAGGAAAGUGGAAUUCCUAGUGUAGCGGUGAAAUGCGUAGAUAUUAGGAGGAACACCAGUAGCGAAGGCGGCUUUCUGGACUGUAACUGACACUGAGGCACGAAAGCGUGGGGAGGCAAAACA